CCUACGGGAGGCCGCAGUGGGGGAUAUUUCACAAUGGGGGGAACCCUGAUGCAGCGACGCCGCGUGGGUGAAGGAGCGUUUCGGCGCGUAAAGCCCUAUCGGCAGGGAAGAAGAUAACGGUACCUGACCAAGAAGCACCCGCUAACUACGUGCCAGCAGCCGCGGGAAUACGGAGGGGGCAAGAGUUAUCCGGAUUUACUGGGUGUAAAGGGGGCGCAGACGGCAAAGCAAGCCAGGAGUGAAAGCCCGGGGCCCAACCCCGGAACUGCACUUGAGACUGCAUGGCGGGAGUACAGGAGGGGCAGGCGGAAUUCCUAGGGUAGCGGUGAAAUGCGUAGAUAUUAGGAGGAACACCGGUGGCGAAGGCGGCCUGCUGGACUGUGACUGACGUUGAGGCCCGAAGGCGUGGGGAGCAAACAGGAUUAGAUACCCCUGUAGUC
Molecule: ribosomal RNA, 440 nt
Filed under: uncultured bacterium
Lineage: Bacteria
Description: partial 16S ribosomal RNA
Rfam family: Bacterial small subunit ribosomal RNA
Source: RNAcentral